RNAcentral lists this long non-coding RNA (1003 nucleotides) under Dermacentor andersoni. RNAcentral's name for it is "uncharacterized LOC126530470". Lineage: Eukaryota; Metazoa; Arthropoda; Arachnida; Ixodida; Ixodidae. The record is from RNAcentral.
UAAGCUCUAAAUUAAAGAAGACAUUUCUAGUCAGAAACAAGCAAAAAUGGUGAAUGCAGAGUAUCAGAAGCCCCAAGGUACAGAAAUUAUGAGAAGUGUCGAAUGAUUGUAAGAAAAGAGUCGUAUUUGAAAAUGCAAGACUCUUUAGUGGAGGUCAAGCAAGUCAAUAUAGGUAGAAUACUCUGCAAAAUUAUGCGAGUGAGGGGAUGUCAAACAAUGGGUCAGGAAAUGCAUUGUUUUUCUGCAAAAAAAAAAGCUGAUUGUCAUUACAUAAGUCACUUUAGCAUCAUGAGACUGCUGCUUGAUAAAUUCAGAAAUGAACCAAAAGACAAGACAUGCAAAAAUAAAAAAACCAUUUAAUGAUGCCCUCUCCACACUGCGAUAAAUAAAAACAAACACAUCACAUCUAAUGUGGACAUAUCAGACGCCUUGUGAAACACUAGAGGAAAAAUUCAGUUUCGAGCUAUGGCACUUGCCGCAAAGAUGUGGGGGGCCUUGCACUAAUAGUGAUAGUUACCACUGCGUUUAGAAAUUGAAAGCAUUCAUGCAGACAAGGAUGAUUCUUUAUAUUUUUGGCUACCACUUCAAAUGCCUCCACCAAGUGUUACAAUUCUGCACGCAGCCAUAGUAAGGAUCUCGCAGCAACACCUGCAGGUAAAAAGCAGAAGCAGUCAAAGUGCUGGUGUGUUCUGGACACUAUGUUUGAAAACUUUUAGGCAAGAAGAGUGCAAGAAGCAGGCAUAACAACUGCAUUUAUUUCCAUAAUUCCCCAUUUGAAUGGCCUUUUCUUUUUGCUUAGACAAUGCCUACACCUAGCCACAGCAGCUCCCUCAUACAGACUCCGCAAGCCAAGAGGCCGUGGAGGCAAAUGCAGGCAGCCAGCACACCUCGAACAGCCACCUUGACUGCGGGUAUGUCAGUAGAUUCCUGUUGUACAUAUGCUCAUAAUAAACUUCAGUAAACUUGAACUUGAUAAUAAACUUGAAGGCAAAUGGGACGUUGA